AGCAGUGGGGAAUAUUGGACAAUGGGGGCAACCCUGAUCCAGCAAUGCCGCGUGAGUGAAGAAGGUCUUCGGAUUGUAAAGCUCUUUCGGCGGGGACGAUGAUGACGGUACCCGCAGAAGAAGCCCCGGCUAACUUCGUGCCAGCAGCCGCGGUAAUACGAAGGGGGCUAGCGUUGCUCGGAAUGACUGGGCGUAAAGGGCGCGUAGGCGGCGAGACUAGUCAGGCGUGAAAUUCCUGGGCUCAACCUGGGGGCUGCGUUUGAUACAGUUUUGCUAGAGUGGGGAAGAGGGUUGUGGAAUUCCCAGUGUAGAGGUGAAAUUCGUAGAUAUUGGGAAGAACACCGGUGGCGAAAGCGGCAACCUGGUCCUUGACUGACGCUGAGG
This 384-nucleotide ribosomal RNA is filed under the name uncultured bacterium. RNAcentral describes it as "bacterial SSU rRNA". It matches the Rfam family "Bacterial small subunit ribosomal RNA", at positions 350 to 751 of the family's 1533-position model. The record is from RNAcentral.